This 73-nucleotide transfer RNA is filed under the name Nannocystis sp. Its description in RNAcentral is "tRNA-Ser". It matches the Rfam family "tRNA". From Rfam's summary of the family: Transfer RNA (tRNA) molecules are approximately 80 nucleotides in length. Their secondary structure includes four short double-helical elements and three loops (D, anti-codon, and T loops). The record is from RNAcentral. Lineage: Bacteria; Pseudomonadati; Myxococcota; Nannocystales; Nannocystaceae.
UACACUUGGCGUAGCUGGUAAACGCGCAGACCUCGAGAGUCUGAAAUCGCGGGUUCAAAUCCCGCAAUGUACA